Molecule: RNA transcript, 1773 nt
Organism: Prunus dulcis (almond)
Lineage: Eukaryota; Viridiplantae; Streptophyta; Magnoliopsida; Rosales; Rosaceae
Exons: 4
Source: RefSeq, a predicted model, not a curated record
UGUGUCUCUCUCUCUCUCUGUGUUCCCGGAAGAAAAUCAAGCAAACAGCAUCUAUCUCGAUCGGCUCCGCACGUAAUUAUUACAGGUUGCUUGCUGACAGUGAUACACACACCCACCAACCAAGGCACAAAGCAUGAGCAUGUUAGCUACUGCUCAGUUAUACGCACAGAGAUGGAGCACGUCAGCUGGUGCUUCCGAAAUACAGAGCAUCAGCAGCUCAACUGGUGCUUCCGAGUACCGUAUUUUAUAUACCGGUGUGAAUCAAAGAGAAGAUGUAAGAAUCUCAUUAGACUCAAUUCCCAGGGACAGGUUCAAAAUCUGUAUAGAUUAUGAAGAGAGAACUCGAGUCUUCCAGGAUUCCUGGUGAGCAUGUUCCAGUAGAACUUCCUUAUGCUACUACAUACCACCUCCUUGCUGAGAGGAGUUUCUAUGUCCCUAUGCGUGAUGUCAAGCAAUUUUCAUCAAGGCCUAAAUGGACGCAUGUCUUGGCUUAUCAUCUUUCCAAGAUCGGUGUCCCACAAGGUGCGCAGCCAGCUCUUAUUGUAAGAAUACUUGAUUACAUUGAAGAGGCCGACAACGACAGCUUUGAGUUGCCUAUUCUUGUGCAUAUUGUGGAUGGCACUUAUCACUAUCUGAGGUUGGACCACGACAACGACAUCCUUGAUAGGGUUAUGAGGCAAUCCUCGGAAGCCUACAGGGCCAUGCUUAUUCCUGCAGCUCAAUCAUCCAUUCAGGGCUUGGAGAAUGUGAGGCUUGAUGAUCCUACUUUGGCCCCGUCGUCCGCAUGUAUUAUUUGUAUGGAGGGCCUCCUCCUUGAUCAUCAUGAUGAUCAUCACUCUGAUAAUAUUAAUGUCGUCCCUGCUUCACAAGAUGAAGAUGAUGACCAUGAUCAAGAUCAAGGUCAAGGGGUUGAUCGUCAUCGUCCACCAAUGAUGAUCAAACGCUUGCCCUGCUUACACCAGUUUCAUGAAGAUUGCAUCGUCCCGUGGCUGCAGAUCAAUCACUUGUGUCCCCUGUGCCGAUACCCGCUGGAAGUGCGCGAGUCAUCAAAACCCAAACGAAGGAGAUUAUCAUGAAAUAAUGAAGGGAGACCUGUAGCCAUGAUGCUCAGCUGGAACAAUAUAUGUUGCUGUCGAUCUUGAGUAUAAUCCUAGCACAAGAUCAAAAGAAUGCCUCCUAGAUCAGAAUGAUAUGAACAUUAUACGUACCUUGGUUUUCCGUAGGCAGAAGCUGGCUUGAUUAGUAUGUGCUCUUCGGGAUCAUAAAAUUAACAUGCAUGCAUGUGGGAUCAUUGUACCUGGUGUUCCUCUUCUAGAGGCUUGGCAAGCUGGGUGCAUGUCAUCAAGCCUUUAGAAGAAAGAAGAGUGGAGGUUGGAGUUGAGACUCAAGGUUAUUAGUCUUACACCUCCCAAAUAUUAAGAUGCUGAUAUUUCUGUACACAAGAGUGGAAGAAGAAGAACUGAAGAAGGGUAGUGUUGGUGCAUAGUAUUAUUGUUCUAAAGGAUUGCAUAAUUUAUGGUGGGGUGGGUGGAUCGAUGCCUUCGUGGAGGAAGCAUUUCAAAUUGCUGAGGAAAACCCGGAUAAGCUCUGGUAUUGAAAGGCGUGGUAGCUGCCAGCCAGGGGUGGCCGGUGUGCAAGUGGUGCCACCGCACAGGGCCCCUAAUUUUUUAGGGGCCCCAAUUUUUUUUCAUGUGUAUAAUAUAUGUAGAGUGCUGCUAUUUUCACCCACCUCAUAUUUUUCCACCCACCUUAUUUUAAAAAAUUUAAAGACAA